RNAcentral lists this ribosomal RNA (301 nucleotides) under uncultured bacterium. Its description in RNAcentral is "partial 16S ribosomal RNA". It matches the Rfam family "Bacterial small subunit ribosomal RNA", at positions 509 to 809 of the family's 1533-position model. The record is from RNAcentral.
CAGCAGCCACGGUAACACAGAGGGUGCAAGCGUUAAUCGGAAUUACUGGGCGUAAAGCGCGCGUAGGUGGUUUGUUAAGUUGGAUGUGAAAUCCCCGGGCUCAACCUGGGAACUGCAUCCAAAACUGGCAAGCUAGAGUAUGGUAGAGGGUGGUGGAAUUUCCUGUGUAGCGGUGAAAUGCGUAGAUAUAGGAAGGAACACCAGUGGCGAAGGCGACCACCUGGACUGAUACUGACACUGAGGUGCGAAAGCGUGGGGAGCAAACAGGAUUAGAGACCCCUGUAGUCCCUGUCUCUUAUAA